CUUGUACACACCGCCCGUCACACCAUGAGAGUUUGUAACACCCGAAGCCGGUGGCGUAACCUUUUAGGGAGCGAGCCGUCUAAGGUGGGACAAAUGAUUAGGGUGAAGUCGUAACAAGGUAGCCGUAGGAGAACCUGCGGCUGGAUCACCUCCUUU
RNAcentral lists this ribosomal RNA (156 nucleotides) under Lacticaseibacillus casei. Its description in RNAcentral is "Lactobacillus casei partial 16S rRNA". It matches the Rfam family "Bacterial small subunit ribosomal RNA", at positions 1380 to 1533 of the family's 1533-position model. Lineage: Bacteria; Bacillati; Bacillota; Bacilli; Lactobacillales; Lactobacillaceae. The record is from RNAcentral.